RNAcentral lists this long non-coding RNA (487 nucleotides) under Trifolium pratense (red clover). RNAcentral's name for it is "long non-coding RNA (TPRA_LNC014070)". Lineage: Eukaryota; Viridiplantae; Streptophyta; Magnoliopsida; Fabales; Fabaceae. The record is from RNAcentral.
UUGACAUACAAGAGUCUGCUGCAUGCAGAGCAUAUGUUGGUUGGUGCAUUUGUAUAUGUAUCCGUGAUACUUGGUGAUUUUCCUCAUGGCCAGUUUUGGUAUGAUUUUGGCCUGUGAAUCUGCUUAUUACUCGGUUUAAUAUCGGUCAUGUUCCUUGAGCGAAUAAUGAUGCCACAGAUUAAGUUUAUGCCCAUCUCAGCUCUCAUAAUUUGUCUGUUGAAUAUGUAACGAAGUAUACAUUCACUUCCAUGUUACUUGAUUUUGUUAGAUGGUUUCUUUUUGGAAUAUAUUGCUACUUAGAGGAUUGAUGUUUUAAUGGUUAUCAUGGCGUUUUUAGAUGAAAUUACUGGCAGCUGUUUAAUGCACUAUUAGAAACAUUAUAUCCAUUCGCCAUGAUCGGUAAAUUCUAAUUCAUCCGGCAAAUGAUGAAAUGUAUGGCCGAAUAUCUGUAGUCUCUCGGGGUUGAACCCUAAAUCUCCCACUUUUU